Non-coding RNA from Obba rivulosa, 92 nucleotides. The record is from the annotation of a GenBank genome assembly. NCBI's taxonomy places the organism in Eukaryota, Fungi, Basidiomycota, Agaricomycetes, Polyporales, Gelatoporiaceae.
UGCCCCAUGGCUGAGUUGGUUACAGCGUCCGACUGUUACUCCUUGCUGUGUACGGCAUCGGAAGGUCGUGAGUUCGAGCCUCACUGGGGCAG